RNAcentral lists this ribosomal RNA (443 nucleotides) under Arthrobacter sp. RNAcentral describes it as "bacterial SSU rRNA". It matches the Rfam family "Bacterial small subunit ribosomal RNA", at positions 19 to 463 of the family's 1533-position model. The record is from RNAcentral. Lineage: Bacteria; Bacillati; Actinomycetota; Actinomycetes; Micrococcales; Micrococcaceae.
CUGGCUCAGGAUGAACGCUGGCGGCGUGCUUAACACAUGCAAGUCGAACGAUGAUCUUCACUUGUGGGGGGAUUAGUGGCGAACGGGUGAGUAACACGUGAGUAACCUGCCCUUGACUCUGGGAUAAGCCUGGGAAACCGGGUCUAAUACUGGAUACGACCUUCUGGCGCAUGCCAUGUUGGUGGAAAGCUUUGGUGGUUUUGGAUGGACUCGCGGCCUAUCAGCUUGUUGGUGGGGUAAUGGCCUACCAAGGCGACGACGGGUAGCCGGCCUGAGAGGGUGACCGGCCACACUGGGACUGAGACACGGCCCAGACUCCUACGGGAGGCAGCAGUGGGGAAUAUUGCACAAUGGGCGCAAGCCUGAUGCAGCGACGCCGCGUGGGGGAUGAAGGCCUUCGGGUUGUAAACCUCUUUCAGUAGGGAAGAAGCUGGCCUUUUGGG